Gallus gallus (chicken) is the source of this 1968-nucleotide long non-coding RNA. The record is from Ensembl. NCBI's taxonomy places the organism in Eukaryota, Metazoa, Chordata, Aves, Galliformes, Phasianidae.
CAAGAACUAUGCUUGCAUGGCUGCUUGUACUAAGCUUGAUGGUACAAGCUGCUCAAAUUAGAAGAUGAAGACAGUCUACUGGGGAGCAUAAAGUAACAUCUUGGAAUACAGAGUGCCAUAUUGCAGAGGUGAAAUGAAUCCUGCCUUUCCUGUUUGAGCUCUCCAGUGAAUUGCACAUAUUCUUUACUACUUUAUAUGUUGCUUACAAGGUUUUUUGUGUGCAUGGAGUCUUUGCAUGCUGAAAAUGAAUCAGUAAAACUGACAUGAAUCCAACUAAGUAUUAUAACAGAUUUCUCAAUGAGACAACCCCAGUAUUUAUUACAGUGUGUAGCACUUUCUCAAAUGCAGUCUUCAUUCUAAGAGAUCUUCAGUUUUUGGAUUCUUCUGUUUAGAAUUUAGUUUACUUAUCUGGAUUAGAAACUGACUCCACAGACAUUAGUGUUAGCACAACUAAGAGAGCUCUUCCCUGUACCACGUGGCAGCAGACAGAAGUAUCUUAAGUUAAUAUUUCUGCUAAAAUUUGUGCUAAAAUUCUGCUAAAAAGUGUGAAGGACUGGUCUAGCACAUGGUUGUUGCAAGCUGAGUUUCCUUCAUCAGCAAAAUAAGUAGAGUACAAUUCCAAGUGUAUAUAUAGGAGAUAGAUCAGAGGCCAUUCCUCAGGAGGAGUAAAAUUAACUCUACAGUGUUCAUACUUCACUAGCACUGGCUCUGAUCAUCAUUACUGUAUAACUUAAAGUACAUCUCAGAUGCUUAGUUCAGUUCAAGUUUAAAUUAUGCUGAGAAAACAUCAGAUGACACCAUAUUAGUCAUAAAUCUUUUGCUUAUUCAUGGUAGAGAUAGAGAUAUAGCUGAAACACAGACAUUACCCACACUGACUCUGUCUAACAUCAGAUGCUGAGAUGCCCAAAUCAGAAGUCUAGUUCUCUUAACUCUCUGUAGAGUUAGUAGAGAGAGAAAAAGAGGUAUCCUCAGAAAUCAAUGCAGAUUCAGAUUUAAAUUGUUCUCCAUAGAUGCAUCUGUCCACUGACUACAGCAGGAUCCCUGAUAACUAAGAGUAACUAAGCACCUAUUGUAGGGGCUCUGGUUAAAUAGAUCAAUGUAGAUGUUAUUUCUGUUGGCUCCUUGGUAGUCACUGUAAGGCAUUCAAAAGGUCCACAACAGGACUAGAUCUGUAUUUGGUAUCCAAGAGAAGAGCCUGUUUUUGCUUAGUUACUCUUGCACAUUUAUUGGUCAGCAGUACAUUGCUGUUUCCUGCUAAUCUCAGGAUACUUUUCCUGAGUGUGCUGACAGAGGGUACGUGGCAUAGAUUUCCAGGCUGUACUAUCUAAAGGGAACAGUGCCUGCUAACAGUUCAUUAACUCCACUUACAUUAGGUACUUACACAGCGGAUGUUUACUUGCUGUCUUGGCUGUAGAUGCAAUGGUAAGUGGUUGCUAGGAGGCAGGAAUGGAUUAAUUCUAAACAGAAAGGCAAAGGAAGAAUCUGCUUUUGAAAGCAAAAAGUGUGUGUUCCCUUAACAAUAGGAGAAUGGAGCACAAAUACUCUGUUCUCAGAAAAAAGCCCAUGGGACCCAGGUAACCAGCCCAAACUUGGAGCAAGAACUAGAGAAAAUGUGAAGAUAUAACAAUAAGAAUGCAUUAAACCUGCUGAGUCCUGAUUUUCUGCCUCUGGUUUUGAUGCUGCACUGGAGAGAAAAAGAAAGAAAGAAAGAAGGAAAGAAGGAAAGAAGGAAAGAAGGAAAGAAGGAAAGAAGGAAAGAAAGAAAGAAAGAAAGAAAGAAAGAAAGAAAGAAAGAAAGAAAGAAAGAAAGAAAGAAAGAAAGAAAGAAAGAAAGAAGAAAGAGAGAGAGAAAGAGAGAGAAAGAAAGAGAGAGAGAGAGAAAGAAAGAAAGAAAGAAAGAAAGAAAGAAAGAAAGAAAGAAAGAAAGAAAGAAAGAAAGAAAGAAAGAAAGAAAGAAAGAAAGAAAGA